Non-coding RNA from Helianthus annuus (common sunflower), 100 nucleotides. NCBI's taxonomy places the organism in Eukaryota, Viridiplantae, Streptophyta, Magnoliopsida, Asterales, Asteraceae. The record is from Rfam.
AGGCCGUGAUGGGGACACUUGCGUAAUAGCUCCUUGAACCUUUCCCAAGUUUCAUAUAAGGAUUCCCCGUCCUCUUGUGAGUAUGUAUUAAUUUCAGCCU